Long non-coding RNA from Pleuronectes platessa (European plaice), 1592 nucleotides. RefSeq lists it as uncharacterized. The record is from RefSeq and is a predicted model, not a curated record. NCBI's taxonomy places the organism in Eukaryota, Metazoa, Chordata, Actinopteri, Pleuronectiformes, Pleuronectidae. The transcript is spliced from 3 exons.
CCUUUCUGGGGCUCCGUAGAACUUAAAUACAUUGACUGUCCUAAAUUAGAUCAGCUGAAUAUGAAUAAUCUGUCUAAAACGGCAACAAAGUUCAUUUUUACUUUACCUUUUUAAGAUGCUAAAUGAUUUACUGUAUUAUUAUUAUACCACAGAGAGGAGUAUUAUUAUUCAACCUUGGAUGUUUUGCAUCACUAAAUCAUCGACUUAUAUAAAAAAAAAAUUAUAUAUGAUUUAUUUGUAGAAAUCUCAAAACAAGACUUUAUGUACAAUAGUCCUCACAGAUAAUAAAUGAGAGGAUAACAUAUCAGACAGUCAAAUGGUGGGGAUACACAUUACAGCUACCCAAAAAAUGUUUGUCGCUGAAAUUCCAGUCGAUUGUCGAUGCAAUUAUGAUUUAUGCAGAAUUAGUUUCUUCAGAGCGUAAUAAGAUUUUGGCCGCGAGUGGUGGCAUGGUUCGACAUGUGAUCAUGCUAUGCCAAUGAGGUAGCUGCUCUUUGUCAACAGACUGGCAAGAUGGAGGCUCCCAUGACUUCAUCGAGCAGUACGGACGACGAAGAAGAAGACACACCAGAGUGUAAUAAAUCGAAAAGCAAACAUUGUUGAAUGCAUAAUACUUCAGUCAAACACGAGGAUGUAAAUUAUUUAACCACUACUCGAUGGAAUACAUAUAGGACAAGCCUAGAAAAGUGGCUCAGGUUGAAGUGGCAGUGUCGGGACAUGGCUGAGAACUUCAAACACUGUGUUGAUUGUUGGAGUGUUGGAGUUUGACAAUAUUCCCGAGGAUGCUGCCUUCCAUCUCACGUGCUACCGUAGAUUUAGAGACAAAAACGCCAUCGCAAUGGUGGAAAGACGUCUCGCACGUGAGAGACAAGAAGCUAGGGAAGACCACAAGGCCAUUCCAUCUACUUCUAGCAGCACGAUUCCAACAAAGAAACUGCGAUCCUGUUCAGGGCUGCCAAUCGCCAACCGUCCUUCCUGCCCUGUGCAUAAUUUGCAAAUAGAAGGAGAAGUUAAUCAGCCGAGCAGGCAAACGACAAAGGGAUCCUCUCUAAAAGGCUGAAACAUUAACAGCAGUAAAGGCCAAUUGUAGAAAGCUGCCGAGUUGAAGGAAGACCAAAGUAUUCUGAUACAUAUAAAAGACUGUGUGGCUCUGGAGGUGCAGUACCACAAAGGAUGUUACAAUCAGUACACCAGGUUUUUGACGAGGCCUGAAAAACCAGAGAAAGAUAAGGAAGUUAUUUAUUAUAUUGCAUUUCAAGGAGCUACUAACUUAACAUUAUGUAAGUAAACAUUCAUCUGCAUUCUGUUGUAUGUGCACACAAUCACAACACUUAUAUAUGUGUUUGAUGUCAGCUAUAAGAUAUUCUGUGAGAGGAUAAUUCGCCACAGGCUGCUUUUCAACCAAGAGGUGCUGAGAAUGGGCCAGCUGAGGAAGGCCUUCAUUGAACUGGUGAAAGCAAAUAAAGGUCUUGAUGCUUCAAACUACAGACAGGAUAUGUUGAAGAAGAGGCUGACUCGUGAUUUCCCCCAGCUGGUGUUUCACAUCCCCACCAAGCGCAACGUGAUUUCCCCCAGCUGGUGUUUCACAUCCC